AUGCACCAGAUACUGACCUGUCCGCCUGCAGCUCAGUUGUGUUUUCUCACACUGAUGCAUGCGUGAUGGUGGCUGUCAGGUCCAGAUGGUGCUACAGAAACACAAGACCCUGAGAUUUAAGCUCUGAGAGGCGAGGCGCUCCCUCAGGUGUUAUAACUCUAGGGCACACUA
This is a non-coding RNA of Carassius auratus (goldfish), 171 nucleotides long. Ensembl annotates it as small Cajal body-specific RNA 1. Lineage: Eukaryota; Metazoa; Chordata; Actinopteri; Cypriniformes; Cyprinidae. The record is from Ensembl.